Molecule: transfer RNA, 83 nt
Filed under: Mycobacterium tuberculosis str. Haarlem/NITR202
Lineage: Bacteria; Bacillati; Actinomycetota; Actinomycetes; Mycobacteriales; Mycobacteriaceae
Description: tRNA-Leu (YAG) (tRNA-Leu-YAG-1-1)
Rfam family: tRNA
About the family: Transfer RNA (tRNA) molecules are approximately 80 nucleotides in length. Their secondary structure includes four short double-helical elements and three loops (D, anti-codon, and T loops). Further hydrogen bonds mediate the characteristic L-shaped molecular structure. tRNAs have two regions of fundamental functional importance: the anti-codon, which is responsible for specific mRNA codon recognition, and the 3' end, to which the tRNAs corresponding amino acid is attached (by aminoacyl-tRNA synthetases). tRNAs cope with the degeneracy of the genetic code in two manners: having more than one tRNA (with a specific anti-codon) for a particular amino acid; and 'wobble' base-pairing, i.e. permitting non-standard base-pairing at the 3rd anti-codon position.
Source: RNAcentral
GGGCGAGUGGCGGAAUGGCAGACGCGCUGGSUUYAGGKGCCAGUGUCCUUCGGGACGUGGGGGUUCAAGUCCCCCUUCGCCCC